GGAGGUUGCGAGCGUUGUUCGGAAUUACUGGGCGUAAAGGGAGCGCAGGCGGCUUGGUCCGUCCAAAGUGAAAGCCCGGGGGGCUCAACCUCGGGAAGGGGCUUUGGAUACUGCCAAGCUUGAGUACGUGAGAGGAGAGCGGAAUUCCAGGUGUAGCGGUGAAAUGCAUAGAUAUCUGGAGGAACACCGGUGGCGAAAGCGGCUCUCUGGCGCGAUACUGACGCUGAGGCUCGAAAGCGUGGGGAGCGAACGGGAUUAGAUACCCCGGUAGUCCACGCCGUAAACGUUGUGCACUAGGUGUGGGAGGUAUCGACCCCUUCCGUGCCGCAGCUAACGCAUUAAGUGCACCGCCUGGGGAGUACGGUCGCAAAGACUGA
Molecule: ribosomal RNA, 377 nt
Filed under: uncultured organism
Description: partial 16S ribosomal RNA
Rfam family: Bacterial small subunit ribosomal RNA
Source: RNAcentral